RNAcentral lists this ribosomal RNA (447 nucleotides) under uncultured bacterium. RNAcentral's name for it is "SSU rRNA". It matches the Rfam family "Bacterial small subunit ribosomal RNA", at positions 26 to 518 of the family's 1533-position model. The record is from RNAcentral.
AGAGCGAACGCUGGCGGCAGGCUUAACACAUGCAAGUCGAGCGGGCGUAGCAAUACGUCAGCGGCAGACGGGUGAGUAACGCGUGGGAACAUACCUUUUGGUUCGGAACAACCCAGGGAAACUUGGGCUAAUACCGGAUAAGCCCUUACGGGGAAAGAUUUAUCGCCGAAAGAUUGGCCCGCGUCUGAUUAGCUAGUUGGUGAGGUAACGGCUCACCAAGGCGACGAUCAGUAGCUGGUCUGAGAGGAUGAUCAGCCACAUUGGGACUGAGACACGGCCCAAACUCCUACGGGAGGCAGCAGUGGGGAAUAUUGGACAAUGGGCGCAAGCCUGGAUCCAGCCAUGCCGCGUGAGUGAUGAAGGCCCUAGGGUUGUAAAGCUCUUUUGUGCGGGAAGAUAAUGACGGUACGCAAGAAUAAGCCCGGCUAACUUCGUGCCAGCAGCCGC